This 7922-nucleotide long non-coding RNA is filed under the name Triticum aestivum (bread wheat). RNAcentral describes it as "long non-coding RNA (TAES_LNC010790)". The record is from RNAcentral. Lineage: Eukaryota; Viridiplantae; Streptophyta; Magnoliopsida; Poales; Poaceae.
UCCCCGUCAGGAGCCUUGGCCGGUAUGCGGUGUUUAUUGGCCUAAGGCACUGCUUGCACAUCUCUACCGAGACAUUCCCCUCCAUUUCUGCGGACACGAUAUACCUGGGUUGCCAUCAUCAGCAAUUCCGUGGGUUUGGCAUCUAUCAUAUCAACAACACGAAGAACCACCCGAGGACCGAGCAUAAUGACAAGUUCGUCUUUGAUAUAUCCCGGUAUUUAUAUCAACCCGCUGCCAGCCCCUACAACCUUGAUGAAUAUCUUGUAUUCUAUGUGGACCGUAGACACCGCUAUAGCAAGGCGUGUAUCAAUCAUACCAGCUGUCUCUUUAGCUAGAGCCCUCUCUAGUGCAUAUAAUGUAUCUGUAUGGCCGUCUGUUUAAUUUGGCAUAUGUGGUCGAUCAGCCUUGACAGCAGCUACUUUUGCUCUAUAUGUACUUGGUGUAACUUUUGCAACCUAAAUGAGGUGCCUGUUUAACAUGUUUUUUUUUCAUAGGGACUUGCUCUCUGAUUUUGUUCUAGAUGUCGUUGGUCAAAUCCGACGAGCACAUCUUUUUUCCCCACUCUGCUUAUGCUAGAACCAUUUGGUUUGGCUCUCCAAUGGCUUUACAAAGUACAAACUGACAUAGUUCUUGUGUGCAAGUCCUAUGCUCUCUAAUUAAGCACCUUUCCUCUAAUGUAAACAGUGACCUUAUCUUUUACAUCCUAUGACAAAUAUGGAAAGGUUAGAAAUAGCUUCAGAUUUCAAAGAAAAGAUUCGACUGUCCGCUUUGUUAUUUCCCAGGCGAAUGCAGCAAGCCCAGAAGGUCCAAUAUGAGUAAUUUUUUUAGGGUACCAAUAUGAGUAAUUUGAUUUGGGGGACAACACGCUGUUAGCAGCCCUGCUAGAACCCCAUUGAAUAAUCUCUCAGCUCUUGAUUAUUGUUUAUACAAAGUCGAUUGCCUACUUUCUUAAUUGAGAGCUGAAGUUCUUGGCAUCUUGUUAUCUUACAACCGUGAGAUCUUGUUCCUCCCUGCAAAUUUACGCUUAUGCUAAUUGUUCAUUGCUUUAAAUGAUGUUUCAACAGCCUGAAAGUAUUUUGCUAUUUCAUUUGUUUUGCAUCAGAGAAAAGAAGGAAAACCAAUAGUAUUUGGUGUUGGUGGUCGGUUUUAAAUCAUGAAUAUUUUGCCAUUUCUACCUCCAAGCAUGUUUGGGAUGUCAAAGUUCCUUUGAAAAUAAAAGUGUUUAUGUGGUUUGUGCAUAAACAAGUUAUUUUAACCAAGGACAACUUGAUAAAGCGUAAUUGGACAAGACCUACUAGGUGUAGUUUCUGUGAUCGGGAUGAGACAGUCAAGCACCUUUUUUUUAUUGCCCGUUGGCCAAAGUGCUUUGGCAGACGGUCCACAUUGCUUUUAAUAUCACUCAACCGAAUUCUGUUAACACGUUAUUUGGGACAUGGCUUGAUGGGAUUGAGCCUGACUUAGCGAGACACAUUCGGGUUGGAGUUUGUGCUUUGCUGUGGACUAUCUGGACUUGCAGAAAUGAUUUAGUUUUUAACAGAAUAUCAUGUAUCCAUUUUUUGCAGGUUAUAUUCCGAACUAUGGCAUUGAUCCGUUCGUGGUCGCUACUCACCCCGACGGAGGCCAGGGAGCAUUUGGUUACUGGAUCCUUCCGCUGGGAGAUGGUAGCUCGGGAUAUCUUCAACCGGUUUGGAUGGCGGUCAUGUAAUAGGAUAGGCAUUUAGUUUACCUACCUAGUUUUAGCCAGCCGGUUGUGGCGUCUGUUCAUGGCUAGUUGGUGUUUCUAGCCUCUUUUUAGCUCUAUGUGAGCUUUCUUUGCUUUUCAUUACUUUUGGAGACUUUGGAACCUUAUUGGCACUUCUUUAUUUGAUUAAUAAGAUGGCCGUAUGCAUCAUUCUGAUGCAGAGGCCGGGAAGUCCCUUUAAAAAAAACUAUUAAUAAUCAAACCAACCACUGUUCUCUUAUUCAAGCACAUACUACUAUACACUCGCCGUGAUUGGAUCAACACUGGGCAGAGAGGCUGCCAUGUCUACCGUCCAGAGGAAUGACUGCUACUUGCGCUGUGGCAGUGCACGAGCAUGUUGCCGUCUACAACGCACAUGAGUAUUCAUCCACCGUGGUACACAGCCGUUGUACCAAUGGAAAAAAAAUUAUCAAUCAAGAAUCAUGAGAUGUGGGAAACAGGGAAUCGGGUAUGGCUAAUCAGAUAUUGAGAUUUGCUGCCUAAUGACGGGAUUAAUCUGGGCGGGAGGAUGCUUUGAGAUUAGCAGUGCCACUUAUAAUGUUCUGGAAGGGAUCUUUCUUGAAGUAAAAUACCAGGUCGUAUAUGAUUUUCUUCCCUGCAACAUCAAAACUCGACAGAAGCCUAGCCGGAAAAUACUAUUUUCACCAUGUAUGUAGACAAAAGAUGCAUGUUUUCAAUAUCCAACCUGUGGUUGGAUGGUUAGAGGGCUAGGGUGUGCGGGCAGUGGCGGAGCUUGGUGGGGGCCAACCUGGGCCAUGGCCCCCCCAGCUCAUAUGAAUUUUUUUGUAUAUACCUUAGUAUUAGGCAUAUUAGGCAUACUUAUCCACCAAAAAUCAUUCAAAAGAAAUUAUGUUUGNNNNNNNNNNNNNNNNNNNNNNNNNNNNNNNNNNNNNNNNNNNNNNNNNNNNNNNNNNNNNNNNNNNNNNNNNNNNNNNNNNNNNNNNNNNNNNNNNNNNNNNNNNNNNNNNNNNNNNNNNNNNNNNNNNNNNNNNNNNNNNNNNNNNNNNNNNNNNNNNNNNNNNNNNNNNNNNNNNNNNNNNNNNNNNNNNNNNNNNNNNNNNNNNNNNNNNNNNNNNNNNNNNNNNNNCGCCACUGUGUGCGGGUAUGCGUUCAUAGGGGUAAGUGUGUGCAGGACUAUAUGAGCGCUUGCGUCUAUAUCGUGUUAAAAAAAUCAUGAUUAAAGAAUCAUAUUCUUAUCCACUAGCAUAUUUGCAAUGUACGUAAAUGUUAUGAAGGAGAUUAAUUGCAUGUUGAUAUUAGGUAAGAUAUCGAUUAUGUGUUAAUUAUGUGAUUAACAUAGACGUUGAUAAUAUGGUAUGAUAUUAAUUGCACACUAAACAUGUUGAACACUCACCAUUGAAGUAAUCUAGGUCAUUGGAUUGACAUAAUUUGAUGGAUAAGAUUAAUUGUAUAUGUCUCUUUGAAUCUUUUUAUAUUGGUAUAAUAGAAUAGAAUAGAAUAGAAUAUAGAUAAACAAAUAAAGAAUCAGGUUUUUUUUAAACCCUUUGAACGUUUUGUAACAAAAAAAGAAAAUAAAUAUAUGUACACAUUUCUCGUGCUGUAUAUUACAGAAAAAGAACUUGUACACAACGUCAAACUAGCCUCCUUCCUUCCUAUCGGACCGGGGGCUUGAAAAUGGUUAUGCACUUGUAUACAACGUCUGUGCUACCUCAGUUUCCCCUCAGCAAGACAAUGUGCAUGACCAUGCUUCUACCUUCUGGCUGCUGCUACAGCUUCGGAAGCAAGAUGCGGGAGCGUCGGGAGAAGCAUCACACGGUGAAGCAGUAGCUCAAUGGAAUGGCAAAUCGCUUCUGCUGAUAUUCUUGGCAAUUCUGCAACCAUCUUUAUUGUAAGAGAUAACACAUGGUAGAUCGUCUGACCAUGACUUGGUACUGAUCAGACUGCAGUAAGCAUGCGGAGUGGCACUCUCAAGUUUGGCACUACAAGUAUCAAUUGAUGUUGUAGAGGCGCGCAAAGCUGUAAUCAACCGUGACACAAGCAGGAGUUGCCAUGAUAUUCCUAGGACACAAGCUCUUUGGUUAGCCAAAGUGCAGCAUGUACGUGCAGCGAAUUACUAAACAAAAGGGUGACAGUUAUACUCACAAAGAGAAUGCAGAAUCCUGAUCUCUCUCAUUCUCAAAAGGCUAGAUGGCCAUCAUUUGGAUCACAUAAUACUUUCAAGCUAACAAUUGACUAUGGAAUAUGUCUCUGCUAUCCACUAUGGACUAUAGUCUUUCACUCAUAUAUGUUUGACUCCCUUCUCAUGGCUAUGUGGAUGCUCAUGGGACUUCCAAUUUGUAGGCAAUUGGUGGUGGCUCAUGAACAUUCAAAGCUUGUCUUUUUUUAUUAUUUGUACCAGCAUUCGAUAGUCAUCACUCUCUUAGUCUCAUCAAACUAGCUGGUGUCAUAUAUGUCGUUGAUCACAAAUCCAAUUCAUUUAUAGAAUUUAAGACUUUGGAACAACCUCUGUUUGAGUGCCAUUCAUGUGAAUUUCCAGAGGUGUUGUUCAUUUAUAUGUCUAACUGACAAAAUACACAACCACCAUAUAUAUGUGUGCACGCUGCACACAAUCAAAGAUAUUAUAAGAGACUGGUCUCACUAGACGUAGAGGCACACCAUACAACCUAACAUAUACUUGUGUCAAUCCUGGAACUGAAACCUGGUGAGAGAAGCGGAAGAACCAAGCUCACAAUGCUAGGCCACAUAUCUCUCUCUAAAAAAAACCGCUAGGCCACAUACUCUUAUUUAUUCAAGAGUCCAAUUACUAAUACCAAUGUAUAUGCUAAUGCUACUAACCAAGCUCUUAUGUUUAAUGUUGUGUGUGAAAAUUGGAAUAUGUCAAAGCAUAUUCCGAACUAGCCAGAGAGAAAAUUAUGUCUUUAUCAUGCCAUCGACCAUAUUAUAUUUUAAUUAAAGUAAACGUAAAUAAAUCUAGGGAGUUUCUAAUGAGCAUCUGAGUGUUUUUACUUACGAAUAUCUCAGUAAAAUUGAAUGUUGGAAACUCUUCAUGAACAGCCUUUCGCUUUGCCCACCAUAUAGCCCACAUGGUAAUUAACCAGGACCUUGACGACGCAUCGGUGGGAGAUUAUUGAUCAAGUCAAAGAGCCACAACUUGGGAUCCGGCUGCUUGCUUGCCGCAAUAUAAUCCACAAUGUCAUCAUCAAGUAAAGCCCAGGCCCCCUUGGCCAAGUUGCAGUCAAAAAGCGAAUGACGCCAUGAAUCGAGAGCCGAGUUACACACUUGACACACAUCUGAAUCUGCCAUAUUUCUAUUCGCCCCCACGUCCGUUGUUGCCAACGAGACUCUAGCCAGCUGCAAACAAAUACCUUCACCUUGGGGGUACAUACAUGUUCCACAGUUUGGACCAACUUUUACGCAUACGCUGUUCAUGAGAGCACCCUUGUCGUUGCUCAAGUCAGUCCUCGCGCUGUUUUUUCGUGUCAACAAGCAGCCUAUAGGCACACCUGACUGAAUGUCCCAGACAUUUCAUCAUGCCAAGCCCACAAAUCCUCCUGGCUAACUGUGCUCAAGAGAAUGUUCAACACCGCCUGUGUUUUGAUUUUCGGUUUGAGAUUUUUUUUUUCACCCCAGGCUGAGAUGGCCGAAUUUCAGCACUUUUUUUUAUAUAAAUUGGCCGAAAUUUGACCAAAAUUUAACUGAAAUUUGACCAAUUUCGGCCGAAAGGUAGAUUUCGCCGUAGACCAAGAUGGCCGAAAUUCGGCCGAAAUCUGUUUUUUUUUUCGGCCGAAAAUCAAAACACACCGCCGCCUUGACAUCCAUGGGAAGAAGAUGAGCUCAAACUACCUGAUGGUUCCAUGAGCAGCCAGCAGAAUCGAUCAGAUCACUAACCCUUUGCGGUGGAUUAGCUGAUAAAGCACAUACAUGCCGCAACCCGAAAUCCCUAGCUAGGGAUCCAAUUGUCUCCAAGAAAACUAGUAUCAACCCUGUUACCGAUCCGCCGAAUAAUCCCAGGUUUCAGAGCAUCACGUCCCUCACACUAAAGGGCGAGGUCUAAGUUCCGCAUGCAAUACUGAAUCUUGAGGGAAAUACACCGCCUUGAAAAUCCUCGCGCUGAGAGAUGAUGGAUCAGGGAGAACUCGCCAAGCUUGCCGUGCAAGGAGGGCGAGAUUACAAAGUUCGAUGUCCCUAAAACCCAAUCCACCAUCACGCUUCGGAUGACACAUUGACUCCCGUGAGACCCAUGCUGUUUUUCAACACAUCCAACAUCACGCUUCACUGACAACUUGUUUGACAGUGGUCUGUUACCUAGAUCCUUGGGCCUACAAGGCCGUCUACAAUGUUCAAUUCGAGAAGCCCACGGCCACUCGCAACGCUCGCACACUGCCUCCUCCCCUUUCGUCGAACCCCGCCGCCAAACCUCUGCGCCGACGCCCGACGCCCGACCCCCCCUCACCAAAUCCAUUUCUCAUGCCUGCAGUCUAGAUGACGAGGCAAUCGACGCUGCGCCGUAGCCUCGCCGUCCCCCCUGUGGCUGCGGGAUCCGAUGGGGACGGAUCUCACGGGAUGAUGACGCGAGCGCGGCGCCGGCGGCUUAGCCUCCUCGCACAAUGGAGGGAUUGGGCCAACCUGCUCCCUGUAGACCUCGUCGAGGAGAUCUCCGGCCGGCUGCUCUCCCUCGACGUGGCCGAGUACCUCCGCUUCCGCGCCGUGUGCAGCCCGUGGCGCGGACUCACCGCCGACCCGCGGACAGCAGGCCUCCUGCACAGCCGCUUCCGCCCCCGCAACUGGAUGGUGCUCUCCAUCAUCCCUGACGCCGAGCCGCACCGCCGCCUCCUCAACCUGGCCACCGCGGCCUCCCUCGGCGUCGACCCCCCGGCGCUCUCCAGCCACUGCCACAUCUGCGACGUCUACGGCCUCCUCCUCCUCUACCACAAGCCCACCACGACCAUCCGCCUCCUCGACCCACUCACCAGCGCCCUCACCGAGUUCCCGGCAAUCUCAAGCAUAGUUCCCGCCGUCCCCCUGGACCACCACACCGUUUUGUUCAAGAAUCCCCUGGGCACUAUUCCGAGGGCGAUCAAUGGCGCAGCGUUUGAUGACUCCACCUCCCCGCCCACACUCCUGCUCUGCCUGAGAGGCGGUCUGGCCACCAUCAUCUUCGCCAAACCCGGCGAUGCGCACUGGACGAUGGUGACCCCAGGCCGGUCCACCCACCCCAGGAACUACCAACAUCAACAGUUAUUAUUCUUCACAUUGCUGUCCCUGGGAGGACACUGCUACAUCAGCUCGCCGGAGGGUUCGCUCUACCUUAUGGAGCUGCAGCCGCUACCUCGGCUGGUGGAGGUGGUUGACCAGCACCGCUUUGCCGACCCAGAUAACAUUUGGCGCGAGCGCAUAAUGUCGUUCCUGGUCAGUGGCACCGCUGGGAGGAUGCUGAUGGUGCGGUACUGGAGCGGCAUGGUGGAGCGCUUCGGCGGCGUUGAGGCUUACAAUCCAGAGGAGCUAUUCACGGCGCGCGGCAUCACCAGCCGCAUUGAGGUGUUGGAGGUGGACAUCGCCGGCAGGAGGCUGGUCCCCGUCAGGAGCCUUGGCCGGUAUGCGGUGUUUAUUGGCCUAAGGCACUGCUUGCACAUCUCUACCGAGACAUUCCCCUCCAUUUCUGCGGACACGAUAUACCUGGGUUGCCAUCAUCAGCAAUUCCGUGGGUUUGGCAUCUAUCAUAUCAACAACACGAAGAACCACCCGAGGACCGAGCAUAAUGACAAGUUCGUCUUUGAUAUAUCCCGGUAUUUAUAUCAACCCGCUGCCAGCCCCUACAACCUUGAUGAAUAUCUUGUAUUCUAUGUGGACCGUAGACACCGCUAUAGCAAGGCGUGUAUCAAUCAUACCAGCUGUCUCUUUAGCUAGAGCCCUCUCUAGUGCAUAUAAUGUAUCUGUAUGGCCGUCUGUUUAAUUUGGCAUAUGUGGUCGAUCAGCCUUGACAGCAGCUACUUUUGCUCUAUAUGUACUUGGUGUAACUUUUGCAACCUAAAUGAGGUGCCUGUUUAACAUGUUUUUUUUUCAUAGGGACUUGCUCUCUGAUUUUGUUCUAGAUGUCGUUGGUCAAAUCCGACGAGCACAUCUUUUUUCCCCACUCUGCUUAUGCUAGAACCAUUUGGUUUGGCUCUCCAAUGGCUUUACAAAGUACAAACUGACAUAGUUCUUGUGUGCAAGUCCUAUG